Molecule: ribosomal RNA, 424 nt
Filed under: Leptolyngbya sp. big1
Lineage: Bacteria; Bacillati; Cyanobacteriota; Cyanophyceae; Leptolyngbyales; Leptolyngbyaceae
Also listed under: 1 other name
Description: bacterial SSU rRNA
Rfam family: Bacterial small subunit ribosomal RNA
Source: RNAcentral
GGGGAAUUUUCCGCAAUGGGCGCAAGCCUGACGGAGCAACGCCGCGUGAGGGAGGAAUGUCUGUGGAUUGUAAACCUCUUUUCUCUGGGAAGAAGAUCUGACGGUACCAGAGGAAUCAGCAUCGGCUAACUCCGUGCCAGCAGCCGCGGUAAGACGGAGGAUGCAAGCGUUAUCCGGAAUUAUUGGGCGUAAAGCGUCCGUAGGCGGUUACUUAAGUCAGUUGUUAAAGACUGCAGCUCAACUGUGGGAGAGCAACUGAAACUGAGUGACUAGAGUAUGGUAGGGGUAGAGGGAAUUCCUAGUGUAGCGGUGAAAUGCGUAGAUAUUAGGAAGAACACCAGUGGCGAAGGCGCUCUGCUGGGCCAAGACUGACGCUGAUGGACGAAAGCUAGGGGAGCGAAAGGGAUUAGAUACCCCAGUAGUC